This 215-nucleotide ribosomal RNA is filed under the name uncultured bacterium. RNAcentral's name for it is "partial 16S ribosomal RNA". It matches the Rfam family "Bacterial small subunit ribosomal RNA", at positions 1286 to 1500 of the family's 1533-position model. The record is from RNAcentral.
UCCCAGUUCGGAUUGUAGUCUGCAACCCGACUACAUGAAGCCGGAAUCGCUAGUAAUCGCGGAUCAGAAUGCCGCGGUGAAUACGUUCCCGGGUCUUGUACACACCGCCCGUCACACCAUGGGAGUUGGAAAUGCCCGAAGUCAGUGGCCCAACCGUAAGGAGGGAGCUGCCGAAGGCGGGACUGGUAACUGGGGUGAAGUCGUAACAAGGUAAC